RNAcentral lists this ribosomal RNA (253 nucleotides) under uncultured bacterium. RNAcentral describes it as "partial 16S ribosomal RNA". It matches the Rfam family "Bacterial small subunit ribosomal RNA", at positions 524 to 777 of the family's 1533-position model. The record is from RNAcentral.
UACGUAGGGUGCGAGCGUUGCCCGGAUUUAUUGGGCGUAAAGGGCGCGUAGGCGGCCACGCACGUCCGUUGUGAAAUCGCCCGGCUCAACUGGGCGGGUCAGCGGAUACGGUGUGGCUCGAGCAAGCUAGGGGCAAUGGAAUUCCCGGUGUAGUGGUGGAAUGCGUAGAUAGUCGGGAGGAACACCAGUGGCGAAGGCGGUUGCCUGGAGCUUUGCUGACGCUGAGGCGCGAAAGCGUGGGGAGCGAGUCCGG